This 387-nucleotide ribosomal RNA is filed under the name uncultured bacterium. RNAcentral's name for it is "bacterial SSU rRNA". It matches the Rfam family "Bacterial small subunit ribosomal RNA", at positions 29 to 416 of the family's 1533-position model. The record is from RNAcentral.
AUUAAACGCUGGCGGCAUGCCUUACACAUGCAAGUCGAACGGCAGCACGGGGGCAACCCUGGUGGCGAGUGGCGGACGGGUGAGUAAAGCAUCGGAACGUAUCCUGGAGUGGGGGAUAACGUAGCGAAAGUUACGCUAAUACCGCAUAUUCUGUGAGAAGGAAAGCAGGGGAUCGCAAGACCUUGCGCUCUGGGAGCGGCCGAUGUCGGAUUAGCUAGUUGGUGGGGUAAAGGCCUACCAAGGCGACGAUCCGUAGCGGGUCUGAGAGGAUGAUCCGCCACACUGGGACUGAGACACGGCCCAGACUCCUACGGGAGGCAGCAGUGGGGGAAUUUUGGACAAUGGGCGGAAGCCUGAUCCAGCCAUGCCGCGUGAGUGAAGAAGGCC